UUAAAUUGAAGAGUUUGAUCAUGGCUCAGAUUGAACGCUGGCGGCAGGCCUAACACAUGCAAGUCGAGCGGA
This 72-nucleotide ribosomal RNA is filed under the name Vibrio alginolyticus. RNAcentral describes it as "partial 16S ribosomal RNA". It matches the Rfam family "Bacterial small subunit ribosomal RNA", at positions 1 to 70 of the family's 1533-position model. Lineage: Bacteria; Pseudomonadati; Pseudomonadota; Gammaproteobacteria; Vibrionales; Vibrionaceae. The record is from RNAcentral. RNAcentral also lists the same sequence under 5 other names.